UACAGAGGGCUGCGAAACCGCAAGGUGGAGCGAAUCUCAAAAAGCCGGUCUCAGUUCGGAUUGGGGUCUGCAACUCGACCCCAUGAAGUCGGAGUCGCUAGUAAUCGCGAAUCAGCAACGUCGCGGUGAAUACGUUCCCGGGCCUUGUACACACCGCCCGUCACGUCACGAAAGUUGGCAACACCCGAAGCCGGUGGCCUAACCCGUCAGGGAGGGAGCCGUCGAAGGUGGGGCUGGCGAUUGGGACGAAGUCGUAACAAGGUAGCCGUACCGGAAGGUGCGGCUGGAUCACCUCCUUU
This 299-nucleotide ribosomal RNA is filed under the name Actinomycetota bacterium. Its description in RNAcentral is "Actinobacteria bacterium partial 16S ribosomal RNA". It matches the Rfam family "Bacterial small subunit ribosomal RNA", at positions 1238 to 1533 of the family's 1533-position model. Lineage: Bacteria; Bacillati; Actinomycetota. The record is from RNAcentral.